UACGUAGGGUGCGAGCGUUGUCCGGAAUUAUUGGGCGUAAAGAGCUCGUAGGCGGUGUGUCACGUCGGCCGUGAAAACCUGCAGCUUAACUGUGGGCGUGCGGUCGAUACGGGCAUCACUGGAGUUCGGCAGGGGAGACUGGAAUUCCUGGUGUAGCGGUGAAAUGCGUAGAUAUCUGGAGGAAUACCGGUGGCGAAGGCGGCAUCCUGGACCAUUACUGACGCUGAGGCGCGAAAGCUAGGGGAGCAAACGGG
Molecule: ribosomal RNA, 254 nt
Filed under: uncultured bacterium
Lineage: Bacteria
Description: partial 16S ribosomal RNA
Rfam family: Bacterial small subunit ribosomal RNA
Source: RNAcentral